GACGAACCAUGCAAACGUUAUUCGGAUUCACUGGGCUUAAAGCGUGCGUAGGCGGUCUUGUUAGUCAGGUGUGAAAGCCCUCAGCUCAACUGAGGAAUUGCGCUUGAUACUGCAUGACUAGAGAAUGAUAGAGGUGGGUGGAACUGAUGGUGGAGCGGUGAAAUGCGUAGAUAUGCGGAGGAACACCGAUGGCGAAGGCAAUCCCCUGGGCCUGUACUGACGCUCAUGCACGAAAGCGUGGGGAGCAAACAGG
This 253-nucleotide ribosomal RNA is filed under the name uncultured bacterium. RNAcentral's name for it is "partial 16S ribosomal RNA". It matches the Rfam family "Bacterial small subunit ribosomal RNA", at positions 524 to 776 of the family's 1533-position model. The record is from RNAcentral.